GGAUUAGUGGCGAACGGGUGAGUAACACGUGGGCAAUCUGCCCUGCACUCUGGGACAAGCCCUGGAAACGGGGUCUAAUACCGGAUAUUGACCUUCACGGGCAUCUGUGAGGUUCGAAAGCUCCGGCGGUGCAGGAUGAGCCCGCGGCCUAUCAGCUUGUUGGUGAGGUAAUGGCUCACCAAGGCGACGACGGGUAGCCGGCCUGAGAGGGCGACCGGCCACACUGGGACUGAGACACGGCCCAGACUCCUACGGGAGGCAGCAGUGGGGAAUAUUGCACAAUGGGCGAAAGCCUGAUGCAGCGACGCCGCGUGAGGGAUGACGGCCUUCGGGUUGUAAACCUCUUUCAGCAGGGAAGAAGCGAAAGUGACGGUACCUGCAGAAGAAGCGCCGGCUAACUACGUGCCAGCAGCCGCGGUAAUACGUAGGGCGCAAGCGUUGUCCGGAAUUAUUGGGCGUAAAGAGCUCGUAGGCGGCUUGUCACGUCGGUUGUGAAAGCCCGGGGCUUAACCCCGGGUCUGCAGUCGAUACGGGCAGGCUAGAGUUCGGUAGGGGAGAUCGGAAUUCCUGGUGUAGCGGUGAAAUGCGCAGAUAUCAGGAGGAACACCGGUGGCGAAGGCGGAUCUCUGGGCCGAUACUGACGCUGAGGAG
This 651-nucleotide ribosomal RNA is filed under the name Streptomyces sp. RNAcentral's name for it is "bacterial SSU rRNA". It matches the Rfam family "Bacterial small subunit ribosomal RNA", at positions 89 to 753 of the family's 1533-position model. Lineage: Bacteria; Bacillati; Actinomycetota; Actinomycetes; Kitasatosporales; Streptomycetaceae. The record is from RNAcentral.